Molecule: ribosomal RNA, 407 nt
Filed under: uncultured bacterium
Lineage: Bacteria
Description: partial 16S ribosomal RNA
Rfam family: Bacterial small subunit ribosomal RNA
Source: RNAcentral
AAUCUUCCGCAAUGGAGGAAACUCUGACGCAGCGAGGCCGCGUGAGCGAUGAAGGUCUUCGGAUCGUAAAGCACUGUCCUUGGGGAAGAAGGUCUUCGGACUUGACGGUACCCAUGGAGGCUGCACCGCCUAACUACGUGCUAGCAGCCGCGGUAAUACGUAGGGGGCAAGCGUUGUCCGGCAUUAUUGGGCGUAAAUGGUGCGUAGGCGACCUUUUAAGUCAGAUGUGAAAGCCCACGGCUCAACCGUGGGAUUGCAUUUGAAACUGGAGGGCUUGAGUAUCGGAGAGGGUAGUGGAAUUCCCAGUGUAGCGGUGAAAUGCGUAGAUAUUGGGAGGAACACCAGUGGCGAAGGCGACUACCUGGACGAUUACUGACGCUGAUGCACGAAAGCUAGGGGAGCAAACA